UACGUAGGGGGCAAGCGUUGUCCGGAAUCAUUGGGCGUAAAGAGCGCGUAGGCGGCCCUGUAAGUCCGCUGUGAAAGUCAAGGGCUCAACCCUUGGAUGCCGGUGGAUACUGCAGGGCUAGAGUCCGGAAGAGGCGAGUGGAAUUCCUGGUGUAGCGGUGAAAUGCGUAGAUAUCAGGAGGAACACCGGUGGUGUAGACGGCUCACUGGACCGUAACUGACGCUGAGACACGAAAGCGUGGGUAGCAAACAGG
RNAcentral lists this ribosomal RNA (253 nucleotides) under uncultured bacterium. RNAcentral describes it as "partial 16S ribosomal RNA". It matches the Rfam family "Bacterial small subunit ribosomal RNA", at positions 524 to 776 of the family's 1533-position model. The record is from RNAcentral.